RNAcentral lists this long non-coding RNA (273 nucleotides) under Malus domestica (apple). RNAcentral's name for it is "long non-coding RNA (MDOM_LNC018084)". The record is from RNAcentral. Lineage: Eukaryota; Viridiplantae; Streptophyta; Magnoliopsida; Rosales; Rosaceae.
UUCUAAAUCAUAUCAUAGAGUAUUCUCCCCCAAACGGUUUGAAGGUUAGAGAUCCCUUGUUGCGCAUUUACUUGCCUCCAUAGCUAAGUGGUUUAACCCCAACUAUGUCGUGUACACCCUCCUGAUGGAGUGACUUUGACAUAAUCAAAGAUCAAGGACUUAACCACAAGACAACUUUGAUGCCUCAGGUCAAAGGACUAUUUUGCAUUAUCCCAACCAUGAGUUCUCAUGUGACAUGAAUAUGAGAACUCUUCGUUGAUCGUGUUCAGUGAA